GGUCAUGUGGCCGAGUGGUGAGGCACAGGUCUGCAAAACCUUAUACGGCGGUUCGACCCCGUCCAUGACCU
Molecule: transfer RNA, 71 nt
Filed under: Chitinophagaceae bacterium
Lineage: Bacteria; Pseudomonadati; Bacteroidota; Chitinophagia; Chitinophagales; Chitinophagaceae
Description: tRNA-Cys
Rfam family: tRNA
About the family: Transfer RNA (tRNA) molecules are approximately 80 nucleotides in length. Their secondary structure includes four short double-helical elements and three loops (D, anti-codon, and T loops).
Source: RNAcentral